RNAcentral lists this ribosomal RNA (253 nucleotides) under uncultured bacterium. RNAcentral's name for it is "partial 16S ribosomal RNA". It matches the Rfam family "Bacterial small subunit ribosomal RNA", at positions 524 to 776 of the family's 1533-position model. The record is from RNAcentral.
AACGUAGGAUCCGAGCGUUGUUCGGAAUCGCUGGGCGUAAAGGGUGCGUAGGCGGGCUUGCGAGUCAAGGGUUAAAGACCUCGGCUCAACCGGGGAAAUGCCCUUGGAACGGUAGGUCUUGAGGGCGGGAGAGGGGGGUGGAAUUCCGGGUGUAGCGGUGAAAUGCGUAGAGAUGAGGAGGAACACCGAUGGCGAAGGCAGCCCCCUGGGCCGCCACUGACGCUGAGGCACGAAAGCGUGGGGAGCAAACAGG